GGGCCUGUGCGCAGGCGCCGGUUACUUCUACUUCGGAUAGAGAGGUCGCGGGGUUCGACUCCCCGCCGUCCCG
This 73-nucleotide transfer RNA is filed under the name Virgisporangium aliadipatigenens. RNAcentral describes it as "tRNA-Arg". The record is from RNAcentral. Lineage: Bacteria; Bacillati; Actinomycetota; Actinomycetes; Micromonosporales; Micromonosporaceae.